CAUCUUACCAGACCUGACGCAAAGGGUUAUAGGAUUAAUCAAGCGUAUGGGAGCAGAAGCACACCCAAUACAAAAGAGAGUUUUAUGUAUGAAUAAGAUUGAUUUAGUUGAGAAGAAGAAAGAUUUAUUAACAGUUGCCGAGCAAUUCAAAGAUCUUCCUGGGUUUGAAAGGCUGUCAAAAGAUCUUGGGAGGAAGAUCCAUUCAUCAUGACUGAGG
This is a long non-coding RNA of Prunus dulcis (almond), 217 nucleotides long. RefSeq lists it as uncharacterized. NCBI's taxonomy places the organism in Eukaryota, Viridiplantae, Streptophyta, Magnoliopsida, Rosales, Rosaceae. The transcript is spliced from 3 exons. The record is from RefSeq and is a predicted model, not a curated record.